GGCGCACGGGUGANUAAUGCAUCGGAACGUGUCCUGGAGUGGGGGAUAACCCAGCGAAAGCUGGGCUAAUACCGCAUAUUGAGGGGACUCGAAAGCGGGGGACCGGUAACGGCCUCGCGCUCGAGGAGCGGCCGAUGCCCGAUUAGCUUGUUGGCGGGGUAAGAGCCCACCAAGGCGACNAUCGGUAGCUGGUCUGAGAGGAUGAUCAGCCACACUGGGACUGAGACACGGCCCAAACUCCUACGGGAGGCAGCAG
This 256-nucleotide ribosomal RNA is filed under the name uncultured beta proteobacterium. RNAcentral's name for it is "partial 16S ribosomal RNA". It matches the Rfam family "Bacterial small subunit ribosomal RNA", at positions 97 to 354 of the family's 1533-position model. Lineage: Bacteria; Pseudomonadati; Pseudomonadota; Betaproteobacteria. The record is from RNAcentral.